AAUAAGUGCAGUUUUGCACUAUUUACGUUCAACGUUUGACCGUUCGUCUUAUUUAAAAUUUUUUUAUGAUUAGUAUUUUUAUUGCUAUUAGAUGAUAAAACAUGAAUAGUACUUUAUGUGUGACUAAUUUUUUCAUUAAUUUUUCAAAUAAGACGGAUGGUCAAACGUUGGACACGGAUAUCCACGGCUGCACUUAUU
Molecule: microRNA precursor, 198 nt
Organism: Oryza sativa Indica Group (long-grained rice)
Lineage: Eukaryota; Viridiplantae; Streptophyta; Magnoliopsida; Poales; Poaceae
Rfam family: MIR812 microRNA precursor family
Source: Rfam